This 507-nucleotide ribosomal RNA is filed under the name uncultured bacterium. RNAcentral's name for it is "bacterial LSU rRNA". It matches the Rfam family "Bacterial large subunit ribosomal RNA", at positions 1952 to 2457 of the family's 2925-position model. The record is from RNAcentral.
UAAGGUAGCGAAAUUCCUUGUCGGGUAAGUUCCGACCUGCACGAAUGGCGUAACGAUCUCCACGCUGUCUCAACCAGAGACUCAGUGAAAUUGAUGUGGCGGUGAAAAUGCCGUCUACCCGCGGAAAAGACGGAAAAGACCCUGUGCACCUUUACUAUAGCUUGACAUUGGAGCUUGGACAAUCGUGUGUAGGAUAGGUGGGAGACUGUGAAACUGGCGCGCUAGCGUUGGCGGAGUCAACCUUGAAAUACCACCCUCGGUUGUUUAAGCUUCUAACCUGGACCGUCAUCCGGUUCGGGGACAUUGUCUGGUGGGUAGUUUGACUGGGGCGGUCGCCUCCCAAAGAGUAACGGAGGCAUGCAAAGGUUCCCUCAGGCUGAUUGGAAACCAGCCGUCGAGUGCAAAGGCAUAAGGGAGCUUGACUGUGAGAGAGACAUCUCGAUCAGGCACGAAAGUGGGCCUUAGUGAUCCGGUGGUCCCGAAUGGAAGGGCCAUCGCUCAAUGGAU